Molecule: ribosomal RNA, 461 nt
Filed under: uncultured bacterium
Lineage: Bacteria
Description: bacterial SSU rRNA
Rfam family: Bacterial small subunit ribosomal RNA
Source: RNAcentral
AACGAACGCUGGCGGCAUGCCUAACACAUGCAAGUCGAACGGGAUCCUAGCUUGCUAGGUGAGAGUGGCGGACGGGUGAGUAACACGUGGGAAUCUGCCUUUUUGGUUCGGGAUAACCGCGGGAAACUGCGGCUAAUACCGAAUGCCCUCGAGAGAGGAAAGAUUUAUCGCCAGAAGAGGAGCCCGCGUCCGAUUAGGUAGUUGGUGGGGUAAAGGCCUACCAAGCCGACGAUCGGUAGCUGGUCUGAGAGGAUGAUCAGCCACACUGGGACUGAGAUACGGCCCAGACUCCUACGGGAGGCAGCAGUGGGGAAUAUUGGACAAUGGGGGGCAACCCUGAUCCAGCAAUGCCGCGUGAGUGAUGAAGGCCUUAGGGUUGUAAAGCUCUUUUGCCCAGGGAAGAUGAUGACUGUACCUGGAGAAUAAGCCCCGGCUAACUUCGUGCCAGCAGCCGCGGUAAU